This 1656-nucleotide long non-coding RNA is filed under the name Musa acuminata (dwarf banana). Its description in RNAcentral is "long non-coding RNA (MACU_LNC009604)". The record is from RNAcentral. Lineage: Eukaryota; Viridiplantae; Streptophyta; Magnoliopsida; Zingiberales; Musaceae.
UUCUUCUCUCGUAGCCAACAAAGGUAAAGCCACUGCUUCUUAUCUAGUUUACUUAACAAGCACCGAUACCCGAAACCAGUCAUAUUCUACAUUGAUAUACGAUCUCGUAGAAGGUGUAGCUCCGUUGUUCUGCCCACUACCUAUACAGGAGGAUGCGGUUAAGGCUUACAGAAAGAACAAGCAAGCGAACUGACUUUUGUGAAAUUCCAUAAUUAGGCUUAGGCUUCUUCAAUUCCAUUGUUAACUCCUGCUUGAGACAGACUAAGAACUCGCAAACUGCACAGCGGACUUAAAAACAACUGAGACUUAUCGACCGGGACUUAUUCCUAUGGCUACCGGAGAGAUAAGAUGGUCUAAUUAUAGGAAAGCAAGAAAGCUUAUUUCUACACUUCUAUGCAAGCAAAGACGAGAAUCGAUAGUGAUAGUACUACCGAGGUAAGUUCAUAACCAUAAUAAUGUCCCUGAACCCAAUACUCAAGCAAGAGGUAAGUUCAUAACCAUAAUAAUGUCCCUGAACCCUGACUUUGAUAUUGAUAUUCCAAUUCGAACCCUGACUUUGAUAUUCGAAUUCUCUUAUGGAACUCCUUUUUCAUAUAUUGGAUUAAUGAGCUUCUCUAUACUUGCUUCUUUCGUUUUGGAUUAAUGAGCUUCUUUCUCUAUACUUGCUUCUUUCGUUCCCGCUCUGUGGGCAAAAGUGCUGCCCUAUUGUGUAAAAGUAGUCUCAUCUCCCUUUUUCGCUUUCAAGCCGAUCCACCAUCAUAUCGCUUUCAAGCCGAUCCACUAUCAUAUCAAGGAAGUCGGCGCCACCAUAACCCUAGACUGCACAUCAAAAGGCACAUCUUUCCCAUUUUCUUGAGAUAGUUUAGUCCCAAAAGUGUUCAAUUAUCUGGAAUGUAUCGGGAGCAGGGAAAGGAGUUGUCAAAUCCGUAAUGAACAUCCUUGUUGUCGUCGGAUCUCAUGAAAUCUUUUUCCAUAUCACUAACAGUAGAUAAAUCCUCUACAUUGAUUAUUUGACCCUAAACUACACAAUUCUCUCAGAGUUAAUUACUUGGUGGUCAACAUUUGUCUGACACAUUAGCGUGGUAACAGGCGAAGAAACCGCUAUUUCCAUAUUAAUGUCCAUAAUCUUUCCUUACUUAGAAAGCAUUGACAGUGUGUAUUUGUUGUCAGGUUGCGUCUUUUCAGCACUCACAUGCUACUGGCGUGCACUGUUAACCACCGGGGCGGGUCUCCACCAUCGUCUCUGGCACCGGCCGGCCAGAUACACCAUUGUUCUACUUUUUGAGAGGUGUUUCUCCUCUGAACUCUAAUCCAUGGACAGUACAAGUGAUCAUCUUUAGGAUCCAGAGAAGUCUUUUGCUGAUUUGAGGAGCCAUCCUGCCUUUUUGGCUCAACACGCUCAUAUUGGAAUCUCCUUUCUUUUUGAAUAAGAAGUGUUUAUAGGAUGGACAUGCAUACAUCUUUAUAUGACCGAUACUGCCACAGUAGAAGCAUACGGACGGCCAUUUCUCAUAUUCAAUCACCUGAAGGAUCCCCUCGUUAGGGUUACCGAUCCAAACACCCAGUUGGAAGGAGAUGAAAUAGUAUCUCCCCUGCAGACAAGCAGACAGCUUUCAUAUAAGUAAGGGAAAGUCCAAGUACUAGAUUUUGGGCCAG